This 292-nucleotide ribosomal RNA is filed under the name uncultured bacterium. Its description in RNAcentral is "partial 16S ribosomal RNA". It matches the Rfam family "Bacterial small subunit ribosomal RNA", at positions 505 to 796 of the family's 1533-position model. The record is from RNAcentral.
GUGUCAGCAGCCGCGGUAAUACGAAGGUCCCAAGCGUUGUUCGGAAUCACUGGGCGUAAAGGGAGCGUAGGCGGCGUGGUAAGUCAGAUGUGAAAUCCCGGGGCUCAACCCCGGAACUGCAUCCGAUACUGCCAUGCUUGAGGGUUGGAGAGGUAGCUGGAAUUCUCGGUGUAGCAGUGAAAUGCGUGGAUAUCGAGAGGAACACUCGUGGCGAAGGCGAGCUACUGGACAACAUCUGACGCUGAGGCUCGAAGGCUAGGGGAGCAAAAGGGAUUAGAUACCCCCGUAGUCC